GGARKGGUSGCUGYCAYGAMUGCAAGUUCGAGMGGACAGAAGGGAGCUUGCUCCCGGAUGUUAGCGGCGGACGGGUGAGUAACACGUGGGUAACCUGCCUGUAAGACUGGGAUAACUCCGGGAAACCGGAGCUAAUACCGGAUAGUUCCUUGAACCGCAUGGUUCAAGGAUGAAAGACGGUUUCGGCUGUCACUUACAGAUGGACCCGCGGCGCAUUAGCUAGUUGGUGAGGUAACGGCUCACCAAGGCGACGAUGCGUAGCCGACCUGAGAGGGUGAUCGGCCACACUGGGACUGAGACACGGCCCAGACUCCUACGGGAGGCAGCAGUAGGGAAUCUUCCGCAAUGGACGAAAGUCUGACGGAGCAACGCCGCGUGAGUGAUGAAGGUUUUCGGAUCGUAAAGCUCUGUUGUUAGGGAAGAACAAGUGCAAGAGUAACUGCUUGCACCUUGACGGUACCUAACCAGAAAGCCACGGCUAACUACGUGCCAGCAGCCGCGGUAAUACGUAGGUGGCAAGCGUUGUCCGGAAUUAUUGGGCGUAAAGGGCUCGCAGGCGGUUUCUUAAGUCUGAUGUGAAAGCCCCCGGCUCAACCGGGGAGGGUCAUUGGAAACUGGGAAACUUGAGUGCAGAAGAGGAGAGUGGAAUUCCACGUGUAGCGGUGAAAUGCGUAGAGAUGUGGAGGAACACCAGUGGCGAAGGCGACUCUCUGGUCUGUAACUGACGCUGAGGAGCGAAAGCGUGGGGAGCGAACAGGAUUAGAUACCCUGGUAGUCCACGCCGUAUACGAUGAGUGCUAAGUGUUAGGGGUUUCCGCCCCUUAGUGCUGCAGCUAACGCAUUAAGCACUCCGCCUGGGGAGUACGGUCGCAAGACUGAAACUCAAGGAAUUGACGGGGGGCCCGCACAAGCGGUGGAGCAUGUGGUUUAAUUCGAAGCAACGCGAGAACCUUACCAGGUCUUGACAUCCUCUGACACCCUAGAGAUAGGCUUUCCCUUCGGGACAGAGUGACAGGUGUGCAUGGUGUCGUCAGCUCGUGUCGUGAGAUGUUGGGUAGUCCCGCACGAGCGCACCCUUGAUCUAGUGCAGCAUUCACUUGGCACUCUAGGUGACUGCCGUGACAAACGAGGAGAGAUGACUCAAUCAUCAGCCCCUUAUWGARCKGGGGCUACMCCMCMCUG
RNAcentral lists this ribosomal RNA (1182 nucleotides) under Bacillus pumilus. RNAcentral describes it as "bacterial SSU rRNA". It matches the Rfam family "Bacterial small subunit ribosomal RNA", at positions 38 to 1227 of the family's 1533-position model. The record is from RNAcentral. Lineage: Bacteria; Bacillati; Bacillota; Bacilli; Caryophanales; Bacillaceae.